RNAcentral lists this non-coding RNA (967 nucleotides) under Trichomonas vaginalis G3. Its description in RNAcentral is "Eukaryotic small subunit ribosomal RNA". It matches the Rfam family "Eukaryotic small subunit ribosomal RNA", at positions 75 to 1230 of the family's 1831-position model. The record is from Rfam by way of RNAcentral. Lineage: Eukaryota; Parabasalia; Trichomonadida; Trichomonadidae.
CAGGUAACGAAACUGCGAAUAGCUCAUUAAUACGCUCAGAAUCUAUUUGGCGGCGACCAACAGGUCUUAAAUGGAUAGCAGCAGCAACUCUGGUGCUAAUACAUGCGAUUGUUUCUCCAGAUGUGAAUUAUGGAGGAAAAGUUGACCUCAUCAGAGGCACGCCAUUCGACUGAGUGACCUAUCAGCUUGUACUUAGGGUCUUUACCUAGGUAGGCUAUCACGGGUAACGGGCGGUUACCGUCGGACUGCCGGAGAAGGCGCCUGAGAGAUAGCGACUAUAUCCACGGGUAGCAGCAGGCGCGAAACUUUCCCACUCGAGACUUUCGGAGGAGGUAAUGACCAGUUCCAUUGGUGCCUUUUGGUACUGUGGAUAGGGGUACGGUUUUCCACCGUACCGAAACCUAGCAGAGGGCCAGUCUGGUGCCAGCAGCUGCGGUAAUUCCAGCUCUGCGAGUUUGCUCCCAUAUUGUUGCAGUUAAAACGCCCGUAGUCUGAAUUGGCCAGCAAUGGUCGUACGUAUUUUUACGUUCACUGUGAACAAAUCAGGACGCUUAGAGUAUGGCCACAUGAAUGACUCAGCGCAGUAUGAAGUCUUUGUUUUCUUCCGAAAACAAGCUCAAUGAGAGCCAUCGGGGGUAGAUCUAUCUCAUGACGAGUGGUGGAAUACUUUGACUCAUGAGAGAGAAGCUGAGGCGAAGGCGUCUACCUAGAGGGUUUCUGUCGAUCAAGGGCGAGAGUAGGAGUAUCCAACAGGAUUAGAGACCCUGGUAGUUCCUACCUUAAACGAUGCCGACAGGAGUUUGUCAUUUGUUAAUGGCAGAAUCUUUGGAGAAAUCAUAGUUCUUGGGCUCUGGGGGAACUACGACCGCAAGGCUGAAACUUGAAGGAAUUGACGGAAGGGCACACCAGGGGUGGAGCCUGUGGCUUAAAUUUGAAUCAACACGGGGAAACUUACCAGGACCAGAUG